CGUGAAGGCUGAGGAUUCGUUCUGCUGCUGGUGCCUGUUCAGCUGCUGUUUUCCGUUGCCUGAGAAGAGGCGAGGAGAGCUGCGUUCCUGCAGAGGCCACUGCAGAGAUACUGAAUUGAUGAAUGAAAAAGCUGAACAAACUAGAAAAGUGUAUGUCUGGAGAUUUGCCUCUUGACAAACUUCAACAAGAGUUACUUCUUUGUCUAUGCACUGAGGAGAAGAACAACAUAUCAAGUGCCUUUGAGUAACUGAAGUUUUUGUCUGGAGAUAGCACGAGGUUUCUCCAUGUCGCUGUUGAAGCUAAAGCUGUGAUCUCUGUCUCAGCUAUAUUUUGUCACUAAGAGAUAACUGGGAGGCUGCACAACAUUUCAGAUAAAAUGUUGGGUGUGGAAACCUAUUCUCAUCAAAUAAGUAUUAUUCUUUUAAUUUUCCUGUUACCUCAGAAAGGAAUUUCUUAGGGUUAUAGUGCACGUACUUGGCUGUGCUGCCCGUACUGGCUGGCUUGAAUGUGCUGCUUCUCACAGGCAGAACUAGAGAUGGGGACUGAUUUCUUGCAUUCCUUCACAGAGCAACAAGCUGGUGAAUCACAGUGUUAUGUGGGAACCAAUGGGAGGCGGUAAGAAGAUUAUUUUGCUGGUUGAUAAUAACAUAUUAUUGUGGGAUUUGCAGGAAAGUUCAGCCGAAGCUGUGGUAAGAUUUUUUUUUUUUACAACAAAUCAUGAUAGAUUGACUAUAGUACAAACAGUUGCAUUCCCUAGCCUAGAAUUUACUAACUUUUUUGCUACUCAGAAAUAUCUUAAGGCCUUUAAUGCUGGUGGGGAAAAUGAAAUACCCUAUCAGUUGUCUUGAAUACAAGUGUUUAAGAGAAGGAAACUUGGUGUUUUUGUAUCUGUUGCUAGUGGUUAUUUUUUCUUUUUCUAGAGCUCCUUGUGCUUUCCUACUGGAUUUAAAGUAACUAAUCCAAAGUAAAGCAAUGCUAAUUUGAUAAAUGUAUAUGAGAAAAAAAAUUGUAGUAGCCUUUGGCUUUACUGAUUGAAUUUAGAUAAUAGUAUAUGAAUUCACGUUGGUUAAUACCAUGCAGCCCUCAGUUUAGUUUAUAGUCCUUGUUGCAUGUGUAAGUAUAAUAUAAAUUUCUCUAUUUACUGUGCACUGCUUUAAGCUCUCUGUAUUAGUUUAAUCUAGUGCCAUAGUUUGCAUUCAGAUUAUUUUGCUGAUUGUUAAAACCUUCUUAUUCAGGAACAGAUAUAAAAAUACGUCAUUGGCAUAGAUUUCUGUUUGAUUAUGCUACCUCUUAUGGAUAAACAAAGAAGUCUGCUUAUUUCAGUAUAAUGACAUAGAUUGUAUAUAGAAAACUUCAGAUGUUUCUUUAUAGAGUCAUUGAGGUCAGUAUCUGUCCUACAAAGGGAAACCAGUUAUGUCAAGGACAUUAUUAUUCAGAUGAUGGCUUGUCACUUCUUGAAUUAAAUCCUCAUUGUUCAGGGUUAGUUUCUUUUCUUGGAUGCUACAGAAUCACAUUUUUCAACUGGCAGUUGCUUAAAGAGUCAACACGUGUGUGUAAACUCUUCCCUGUUGUACCAUCUGACUGUAUGCACAUAGAUGAAGUCUUGAAUUAUUAUUAUUAUUUUGCAUAGUGUCCAUCUAAUGUGAUGUAGUUUAUACUUUGUUCGUAAUGAAGCCCUUGGGGUUCCUUCACUAGA
This is a long non-coding RNA of Apus apus (common swift), 1697 nucleotides long. RefSeq lists it as uncharacterized. Lineage: Eukaryota; Metazoa; Chordata; Aves; Apodiformes; Apodidae. The record is from RefSeq and is a predicted model, not a curated record. The transcript is spliced from 3 exons.